UAGUUGCUUUGAGAAAGGACAACAAUUUUAAUAUAAACUAAGUCAGGGUAACACAAAGAAAUGACUGGGAGGAAGAGAAUUGGUGAGAAAAGCAGGGGGCAGUGUCCCUUCUCUAACUAACCCUUUUCCCUCCCUCCUCGAGUUUGGGGAACUCAGGCCUUGGCAGCCUGCACCACCUGGAGAAAGAGUCAGGUUUACCUGCCCUGGUCUUUGGUCCCUGGCCACAGUUCAGACCCAGGGCACCAGGAGCUGUGAGUAGCCACCCAGAGGAGAAUGCCUUUAGGACAAAAACACCAUGUGGGCAGGACCUGGAGCAGUGGAAAGCUGCUCUUAUCCUUCUUGAAGACGACCAAGAAUCACCCUAUGAUGAGUAAGCAAUAUGGUGGCUAUCUAAAACUUGAGUCUCGGUUACAAGAACACGAAGAGAAAAGUGAUCUUAAUGCAAUGGGCGGGAAAUCUUCCUGUUUUUAUUUUCAAUCUUUGGCUGGCUAGGAAAAUAUCCAUGUAUUCUUUCUUUAAAAAUGUUUUUUUUCUUGAUAUCUUUUGUGUUGAAAUCACAUUUAUAUUUAGUGAUA
This 575-nucleotide long non-coding RNA is filed under the name Monodelphis domestica (gray short-tailed opossum). RNAcentral's name for it is "lncRNA (ENSMODG00000044138.1)". The record is from RNAcentral. Lineage: Eukaryota; Metazoa; Chordata; Mammalia; Didelphimorphia; Didelphidae.